AGGUCUGAUGAAGUGUUGCACUCGAUACUCUCCUCUGUUGUGGCUUCAAGCGUGCAGCUCAUCUACAGGGCAUCGUAGCGUGAUCAAUAAAGUGCAGCUACAGCACUGCAAGGGUCAGCUGGUGACACACAUCAAACGCUUGACCUACUGUCCGCACAAUCCGCAUGGCUUGUGACUGCAAAGGGAGACAAGAACGUUUGUUUUUCGGCUGCGGACUGGAAGGAAAGGGAGCCGGUGGGAAGAAAAUGAGGUGGAAUAGGAGAAAGGAUUGCUCAGGGGGUUGUUUGACAUAACUCAUGAGUGGCGGCGGGAGCGAACAGGGGAAAGCUUCGAUUGCUCUGUAUUGAUUCUGCUGCUAUAGUGAUGAAUUGGCCAAUUACAACCGAAAGUCAAGAUUCUAUGAAAGGAAGUAAAAAAAUAAAAUCAAAUGCUUUUUUUGCUGCAUAAUUAAAAAAAAGGUUCCUACUUGUCUUAACUCAUUGGCUCCCAAUGAUGGCACUAGACGUCCAAUCCAUUUAGACUGGGAGAUGCUGGCAGCAAAGGAUAGCCAGCCUUUCGAAUCAAAUGGACUGGAUUUCUAGCGCCAUCAAUUGUAGCCAAUGAUUUGAUAAUCUCUGUCAUACAGUUGAACAAUUACAAUAUAUCACACUUUUACAUUUUACUUCCUAUAACGUCUCCUUUAAGUAAUCACUAGUAUCAUAAAUAGGUGUCACCGGAAUCAACAGCAACUGGGAGAAAGACAUACUGUAGAAAGAAUGGUAAAAAAUACACAUUCACAGCAGCCUUUUGCUUUACAUUCCUGCUUUUUUCCCUAAAUACCUUACUUUGCUUGGUUUACAAGGAGCAUAAUAACUGAUUUCUCAAUUAUGUGAAUGUUGAAAAUUCUAUCACUUGUGAGAAACAAAUGAAACCAAAUGAA
Molecule: long non-coding RNA, 919 nt
Organism: Corythoichthys intestinalis (scribbled pipefish)
Lineage: Eukaryota; Metazoa; Chordata; Actinopteri; Syngnathiformes; Syngnathidae
Exons: 3
Source: RefSeq, a predicted model, not a curated record